UCCGUAGGUGAACCUGCGGAAGGAUCAUUACAGAAAUAGGAGAAGGUUGCUUAACUGCAAUCCUUUUCUUUCUACACAUGUGUUUUUCUUUUUUUUGAAAACUUUGCUUCGGCGGGCCCACGGCCUGCCAGAGAUUAAACUCAACCAAAUUUUUAUCUAAUUGUCAACUUGAUUAACUAAUAGUCAAAACCUUCAACAACGGAUCUCUUGGUUCUCGCAUCGAUGAAGAACGCAGCGAAAUGCGAUAAGUAAUACGAAUUGCAGAUAUUCGUGAAUCAUCGAAUCUUUGAACGCACAUUGCGCCCUUUGGUAUUCCAAAGGGCAUGCCUGUUCGAGCGUCAUUUCUCCCUCAAACCUUCGGGUUUGGUGUUGAGCGAUACGCUGGGUUUGCAUGAAAGAAAGGUGGAGUAUAAACUAAUGGAUAGGUUUUUUUUUCCACUCAUUGGUACAAACUCCAAACAUUCUUCCAAAUUCGAUCCUAAAUCAGGUAGGACUACCCGCUGAACUUAAGCAUAUCAAUAAGCGGAGGA
RNAcentral lists this ribosomal RNA (530 nucleotides) under uncultured fungus. RNAcentral describes it as "partial 18S ribosomal RNA". The stretch from base 188 to 341 matches the Rfam family "5.8S ribosomal RNA". Lineage: Eukaryota; Fungi. The record is from RNAcentral.